UACGUAGGGUGCGAGCGUUAAUCGGAAUUACUGGGCGUAAGGGCGCGUAGGCGGUUUGACCAGUCAGGUGUGAAAUUCCCGGGCUUAACCUGGGGGCUGCACUUGAUACUGUCAGGCUUGAAUUCGGGAGAGGAUAGCGGAAUUCCCAGUGUAGAGGUGAAAUUCGUAGAUAUUGGGAAGAACACCGGUGGCGAAGGCGGCUAUCUGGACCGACAUUGACGCUGAGGCGCGAAAGCGUGGGGAGCAAACAGG
This 252-nucleotide ribosomal RNA is filed under the name uncultured bacterium. RNAcentral's name for it is "partial 16S ribosomal RNA". It matches the Rfam family "Bacterial small subunit ribosomal RNA", at positions 524 to 776 of the family's 1533-position model. The record is from RNAcentral.